Molecule: long non-coding RNA, 794 nt
Organism: Gavialis gangeticus (Gharial)
Lineage: Eukaryota; Metazoa; Chordata; Crocodylia; Gavialidae
Exons: 2
Source: RefSeq, a predicted model, not a curated record
CUUGCGCUCUGAUGUCAGAUAACAAACAAACAGUAAGGAUAAGGAAAAAGGUUGAUAAGCUAAUCACCCUCCUCUGAGAGUCAGAUGCCCCUGAUAUUGUAAUUUGGUAAUUAAAGCUAAGUCACCAGAGCAGGAAGCAAUUCUUGUGAAGAAGAGCUAGGACUUUCACAGACAGUGAUGGUAGAUUCCAUUUAAAAAGCCAGAAGACUACAGUAUCUCCUGGAGGUCUGAUUAUGGAAGUUGCUCUAGGUACCCUGCCAGUCACAAACAGCCACAAAAACUUACAUGCUACAUUGACUGGAGUUUGACAUUCCCAAAUACAUUUUAUAUAAGCAUUUUGAAGUAGUAUACUUUUUUGGAACAAUAACAGCUCUACCAAUUAUCAGAAGUGAUAGUAUUAGGAUACCAAGCAUAGGGAAAAAAUUAUAGGCAAAGACGAUUAAGAGAUAUUUAGUUAAAUAUGAAUUUGAAUUCAGAUUUUAAUGGUUUCUGGCACCGAAAAAUCCCCCUAAUGAAAGUGAUAAUUUGAAAACCUGUAUCAGAUUUAACUUUGUAUUGUUUUCUUCCCUCUAUUUAUAUACAUGCAGCUGGAUUUGAUGCUCUUUCACAAGUAAUGGUGGGGAACUAGGAGAUCCAGUUUUGUGCAUGCGAACUAACAGAACAUCUGAAGAGCAGCUAGAAUUACACUCUCAAGAGUUCUAGUCCUAAUCUUUUAAUUAUCAGUAUUUAUUUUAGCAUUAACAGUAUGCUUAGUAUUAUACAUAACAAAGACAUGGCUUAACAAAUUCUACCUU